RNAcentral lists this ribosomal RNA (341 nucleotides) under uncultured Desulfocapsa sp. RNAcentral describes it as "bacterial SSU rRNA". It matches the Rfam family "Bacterial small subunit ribosomal RNA", at positions 1039 to 1382 of the family's 1533-position model. Lineage: Bacteria; Pseudomonadati; Thermodesulfobacteriota; Desulfobulbia; Desulfobulbales; Desulfocapsaceae. The record is from RNAcentral.
UGCUGCAUGGCUGUCGUCGGCUCGUGUCGUGAGAUGUUGGGUUAAGUCCGCAACGAGCGCAACCCCUAUCUUUAGUUGCCAUCAUUGAGUUGGGCACUCUAAAGAGACUGCCGGUGUCAAACCGGAGGAAGGUGGGGAUGACGUCAAGUCCUCAUGGCCUUUAUGACCAGGGCUACACACGUACUACAAUGGCCGGUACAAAGGGCAGCGACACAGCGAUGUGAAGCGAAUCCCGAAAAGCCGGUCUCAGUCCGGAUUGGAGUCUGCAACUCGACUCCAUGAAGUUGGAAUCGCUAGUAAUCGCGGAUCAGCACGCCGCGGUGAAUACGUUCCCGGGCCUU